GUUUAGUUUCCAUAAAUACUUCCGCAUUAAUGCUGUCACAGCUGUUUUGAGGCCAAAAGCCUUCAACAGAACAGUGACUCUGCAGUUUGAUGGAAUGAAACACAUCCAAGGUGAUAAGUAGAAGCAGCGAUGAACUAAUUACAUAAGGGGAGGGCUCUGUAUCUCAUUUCCUAAUUUGUGAAAGAAGCAGAAAUAUACAACUGGCCCAUAGCACUGAGAAGAGAUGCUAAAUGGCAUGAUUAAUUUGAAAAAAAAUAAUGUGGAAUUGCAGAGAAGCAACAUCCACCUCUCUGUAUUUGUCUGUCAGUUUUCCCUAAAUUCUUAAGGAAAAACAAAGAAAGAAGUUUUGGGAAGAUGGGGAAGAAAGGGACGAUAGAGUGUCUCAGUUACUGAAGCAUAAACAACUAUGCUAACUGCAAUGAUCCUUCCACCAGAAAAAUGUAUACAGCGGUGAAGAUCUGUAAAUUAAUCAUAGGAUCUUGACAAAUCCACAACUUUACAUUCAUUAUGCAAGUGAAUUUCAAAGUUGAAUUAUUCCUUGUAUUUCACCCAUUAAUCUUUGGAACCCUAUGAUAUGAAUAGAACAUGGACAGACCUGCAUGGAGCUGGCACUGUCUUCCACCUGUGGCAUCCAAAUGUAGACCAGCUGGGAACAGCCAUAGCAAACUUCAGAUGUUGCCUUCAGUGAUCAGGAACUUAUGAAAGCUUGUCUCUCUGCUACCACCUCUGUAUUUUCCUUCAGUCUAGCCCACUCCAGACUCUGACUGCAAUCUUCCCCAGCCCUCUAGCCUGAGUUUUAACAAGAUUUUCUGUUAAUACAGAACAUGGGUACCCAUCUACUAAAUAAGCAGGCUAAAGUUGGCUGUUGGGGCUUCAGCAA
Molecule: long non-coding RNA, 880 nt
Filed under: Coturnix japonica (Japanese quail)
Lineage: Eukaryota; Metazoa; Chordata; Aves; Galliformes; Phasianidae
Description: lncRNA (ENSCJPG00005011542.1)
Source: RNAcentral